ACACGUAGGGGGCGAGCGUUGUUCGGAAUUACUGGGCGUAAAGGGCAUGUAGGCGGUUCUGUAAGCCUGACGUGAAAGGCUAUGGCUCAACCAUGGCACUGCGUUGGGAACUGCGGGACUUGAAUCAUGGAGAGGGAGCUGGAAUUCCAGGUGUAGGGGUGAAAUCUGUAGAUAUCUGGAAGAAUACCAAUGGCGAAGGCAAGCUCCUGGCCGAUGACUGACGCUGAGGUGCGAAAGUGUGGGGAUC
This 247-nucleotide ribosomal RNA is filed under the name uncultured bacterium. Its description in RNAcentral is "partial 16S ribosomal RNA". It matches the Rfam family "Bacterial small subunit ribosomal RNA", at positions 523 to 769 of the family's 1533-position model. The record is from RNAcentral.